AUUCGUAUAACGCCUAUCCAUGAUGGCGCGGAAUCUUUUCUUCUGUCAGAUAAACCCAAAUUACGCGAUACACUGUUCGGCGUUUACCAUUAAUAAUGGAUGUGCGAAUGUACGACAAAGGUUGCGUCAGGCUUACAGCCCUCCGCCGAGACGCGAUACCUUUUUCCCCAACGCUUCGCAUUGGGCUGAAUUAACACGCCCUUUCAGGGCUCUUACAGCAGUCAGCCGUCAGUUCCGCAUUCCUCCUUGGAAGGGGGGAAGGGGGAUGUUCAUAUCGGCGUUAUGACGGGUGAACACAGAGGUUCGCCCCUACAUGAACUGCCCUUUCCUCUACCCUGUCAUUCAGAGCGAAGCGAUGAAUCUCCUUCCUUCUCCAAGUGAGAUUCCUCACGGUGUUCGGAAUGACAAGGAGGGGCGUUCAGAGCACUUCCCUUGUCAUCCAGAACGUCAGCGAUGAAUCUCUUUUCCUCUUCCUCGCGGGAUUCCUCACUGCGCUCGGAAUGACAGGGGUACAUGUUGUAGAGACACAAAUCAUUGCGUCUCUACGGUGCGUACUGCGUUCAUUUGCGUCCAUUUGUGAAAUUUGUGUUCGGACACCGUGUACCUUGUACAUAACCAUUACCCGAUAGGGCUGAAAGCCCGCUUUAUUUCAGCCCUAUCCCGCAAGGGUGGGGUAUCCAUGCCAAUACCUUGGUUAGAGGGCUGUAAGCCUGACAUAAUCGUUAGCGGUCAGUAUUCAGCAAUCAGUCAACAAAUCAACAUGUCAACAAUAAUGCAAUGAAGGAGGCUUAUCGGCAAAUUCGUAUAGCAGAAAUAUAUGCAACUCGCGUAAAUUGGAUGACGAGUGGCAAUGAUAGCGAAGAGAGUUUUCAUGAACGUAUAAAAACAGAACUCGUCCAGAUAGUUUUGUAAAAACUCCGGCUUAAUGUCAUGAAAUGUAUUUAGUAAUUGUCGCUUGGCAUUGCUGAUGGCGAUAUGAACCCAAGGGAGUCAUUCUCCCACUUUUUCUUUUGGGAUAAUCUGAGAGUGGUGUCGUGGUACAAAGUUUUCUAACUCCACGUAAGAAGUAGAAUCAUCCGUGUCGAUUUGAUUAGCUCCGGAGGCUAACUGCUGAACCGCUGCAUUAAUGGUCUCUUUUUCCCAAUA
This 1146-nucleotide small RNA is filed under the name Tannerella forsythia KS16. RNAcentral's name for it is "Acido-Lenti-1 RNA". The record is from RNAcentral. Lineage: Bacteria; Pseudomonadati; Bacteroidota; Bacteroidia; Bacteroidales; Tannerellaceae.